CCAUCUGGCCUAAUACUGACACUGAGGUGCGAAAGCAUGGGGAGCAAACAGGAUUAGAUACCCUGGUAGUCCAUGCCGUAAACGAUGUCUACUAGCCGUUGGGGCCUUUGAGGCUUUAGUGGCGCAGCUAACGCGAUAAGUAGACCGCCUGGGGAGUACGGUCGCAAGACUAAAACUCAAAUGAAUUGACGGGGGCCCGCACAAGCGGUGGAGCAUGUGGUUUAAUUCGAUGCAACGCGAAGAACCUUACCUGGUCUUGACAUAGUAAGAACUUUCCAGAGAUGGAUUGGUGCCUUCGGGAACUUACAUACAGGUGCUGCAUGGCUGUCGUCAGCUCGUGUCGUGAGAUGUUGGGUUAAGUCCCGCAACGAGCGCAACCCUUUUCCUUAUUUGCCAGCGGGUUAAGCCGGGAACUUUAAGGAUACUGCCAGUGACAAACUGGAGGAAGGCGGGGACGACGUCAAGUCAUCAUGGCCCUUACGACCAGGGCUACACACGUGCUACAAUGGUCGGUUACAAAGGGUUGCUACCUCGCGAGAGGAUGCUAAUCUCAAAAAGCCGAUCGUAGUCCGGAUCGCAGUCUGCAACUCGACUGCGUGAAGUCGGAAUCGCUAGUAAUCGCGGAUCAGAAUUGCCGCGGUGAAUACGUUCCCGGGCCUUGUACAACACCGCCCGUCACACCAUGGGAGUUUGU
RNAcentral lists this ribosomal RNA (694 nucleotides) under uncultured Acinetobacter sp. Its description in RNAcentral is "bacterial SSU rRNA". It matches the Rfam family "Bacterial small subunit ribosomal RNA", at positions 725 to 1415 of the family's 1533-position model. The record is from RNAcentral. Lineage: Bacteria; Pseudomonadati; Pseudomonadota; Gammaproteobacteria; Moraxellales; Moraxellaceae.